Molecule: ribosomal RNA, 498 nt
Filed under: uncultured bacterium
Lineage: Bacteria
Description: partial 16S ribosomal RNA
Rfam family: Bacterial small subunit ribosomal RNA
Source: RNAcentral
GACGAACGCUGGCGGCGUGCCUAAUACAUGCAAGUCGAACGAGAGCGCCCGGUGCUUGCACUGGUCAAUCUAGUGGCGAACGGGUGAGUAACACGUGGGUAACCUGCCCAUCAGAGGGGGAUAACAUUCGGAAACGGAUGCUAAAACCGCAUAGGUCUUCGAACCGCAUGGUUUGAAGAGGAAAAGAGGCGCAAGCUUCUGCUGAUGGAUGGACCCGCGGUGCAUUAGCUAGUUGGUGAGGUAACGGCUCACCAAGGCCGUGAUGCAUAGCCGACCUGAGAGGGUGAUCGGCCACAUUGGGACUGAGACACGGCCCAAACUCCUACGGGAGGCAGCAGUAGGGAAUCUUCCGCAAUGGACGCAAGUCUGACGGAGCAACGCCGCGUGAGUGAAGAAGGUUUUCGGAUCGUAAAACUCUGUUGUUAGAGAAGAACAAGUGCUAGAGUAACUGUUAGCGCCUUGACGGUAGCUAACCAGAAAGCCACGGCUAACUACGUG